RNAcentral lists this small nuclear RNA (104 nucleotides) under Cervus hanglu yarkandensis (Yarkand deer). The record is from RNAcentral. Lineage: Eukaryota; Metazoa; Chordata; Mammalia; Artiodactyla; Cervidae.
GUGCUCGCUUCAGCAGCACAUAUACUAAAAUUAGAAUGAUACAGAGAUUAGCAUGGCCCCUGUGCAAGGAUGACACGAAAAUUUGUGAAGUGUUCCAUAUUUUA